CAGAUGCCUGCAUGUUGUUUCAGUCCUUAGUAAAGAUGUUAAGAUGGGGAAGGUAUCUUUUGUGCAGCCAGGCUCCUCCGACUUCUCCUUCUGGCCAUGCUGCAAUGGAGAGAUUUUCAAGGUCCAGGAAGUUUAAAGUCCAUUUGCAUCCAAACAGAGACUGGUGCUAGGCGGCGAAGGAGGAGGAGGUUGGUGGACUCGCCUGCUGCUUCCCCAGCUGCCUCCCCACCAGUGUCUCCACAGGAAGCAGGGAAGACAAUGGAGGAGGUGGACCAACCUGGGACCUCGGCUGCUUCCGCAGGGGUGCCACCUCACGUAGUAUGUA
Molecule: long non-coding RNA, 325 nt
Organism: Sceloporus undulatus (fence lizard)
Lineage: Eukaryota; Metazoa; Chordata; Lepidosauria; Squamata; Phrynosomatidae
Exons: 3
Source: RefSeq, a predicted model, not a curated record